CCGGUAAACGGCGGCCGUAACUAUAACGGUCCUAAGGUAGCGAAAUUCCUUGUCGGGUAAGUUCCGACCUGCACGAAUGGCGUAAUGAUGGCCAGGCUGUCUCCACCCGAGACUCAGUGAAAUUGAACUCGCUGUGAAGAUGCAGUGUACCCGCGGCAAGACGGAAAGACCCCGUGAACCUUUACUAUAGCUUGACACUGAACAUUGAGCCUUGAUGUGUAGGAUAGGUGGGAGGCUUUGAAGUGUGGACGCCAGUCUGCAUGGAGCCGGCCUUGAAAUACCACCCUUUAAUGUUUGAUGUUCUAACGUGGACCCGUGAUCCGGGUUGCGGACAGUGUCUGGUGGGUAGUUUGACUGGGGCGGUCUCCUCCUAAAGAGUAACGGAGGAGCACGAAGGUUGGCUAAUCCUGGUCGGACAUCAGGAGGUUAGUGCAAUGGCAUAAGCCAGCUUGACUGCGAGCGUGACGGCGCGAGCAGGUGCGAAAGCAGGUCAUAGUGAUCCGGUGGUUCUGAAUGGAAGGGCCAUCGCUCAACGGAUAAAAGGUACUCCGGGGAUAACAGGCUGAUACCGCCCAAGAGUUCAUAUCGACGGCGGUGUUUGGCACCUCGAUGUCGGCUCAUCACAUCCUGGGGCUGAAGUAGGUCCCAAGGGUAUGGCUGUUCGCCAUUUAAAGUGGUACGCGAGCUGGGUUUAGAACGUCGUGAGACAGUUCGGUCCCUAUCUGCCGUGGGCGCUGGAGAACUGAGGGGGGCUGCUCCUAGUACGAGAGGACCGGAGUGGACGCAUCACUGGUGUUCGGGUUGUCAUGCCAAUGGCACUGCCCGGUAGCUAAAUGCGGAAGAGAUAAGUGCUGAAAGCAUCUAAGCACGAAACUUGCCCCGAGAUGAGUUCUCCCUGACCCUUUAAGGGUCCUGAAGGAACGUUGAAGACGACGACGUUGAUAGGCCGGGUGUGUAAGCGCAGCGAUGCGUUGAGCUAACCGGUACUAAUGAACCGUGAGGCUUAACCUUACAACGCCGAAG
This 1023-nucleotide ribosomal RNA is filed under the name Escherichia coli. RNAcentral describes it as "partial 23S ribosomal RNA". It matches the Rfam family "Bacterial large subunit ribosomal RNA", at positions 1920 to 2925 of the family's 2925-position model. The record is from RNAcentral. Lineage: Bacteria; Pseudomonadati; Pseudomonadota; Gammaproteobacteria; Enterobacterales; Enterobacteriaceae.